RNAcentral lists this ribosomal RNA (422 nucleotides) under uncultured bacterium. RNAcentral describes it as "bacterial SSU rRNA". It matches the Rfam family "Bacterial small subunit ribosomal RNA", at positions 355 to 774 of the family's 1533-position model. The record is from RNAcentral.
UGAGGAAUAUUGGGCAAUGCCCGCAAGGGUGACCCAGCAACGCCGCGUGGAGGAUGAAUGUCGUAAGAUUGUAAACUCCUGUUAGAGGGGAAGAAUAGUACCGGUUGGACCGGUAUAUGACUGUACCCUCAGAGAAAGCCCCGGCUAACUACGUGCCAGCAGCCGCGGUAAUACGUAGGGGGCAAGCGUUGUCCGGAUUUACUGGGUGUAAAGGGCGCGCAGGCGGGAUAAAAAGUCAGUGGUGAAAUCCUACAGCUUAACUGUAGAACUGCUUUUGAUACUUUUAUUCUUGAGUUCGGGAGAGAGAGACGGAAUUCCAGGUGUAGUGGUGAAAUACGUAGAUAUCUGGAAGAACACCAGUUGCGAAGGCGGUCUCUUGGUCCGACACUGACGCUGAGGCGCGAAAGCGUGGGGAGCAAACA